AUACGGAGGGUGCAAGCGUUAUCCGGAAUCAUUGGGUUUAAAGGGUCCGUAGGCGGACUAUUAAGUCAGAGGUGAAAUCCCACAGCUCAACUGUGGAACUGCCUUUGGUACUGGUAGUCUUGAGUUAUAUGGAAGUAGAUAGAAUGUGUAGUGUAGCGGUGAAAUGCAUAGAUAUUACACAGAAUACCGAUUGCGAAGGCAGUCUACUACGUAUAUACUGACGCUAAGGGACGAAAGCGUGGGGAGCGAACAGGAUUAGAAACCCUAGUAGUCC
This 274-nucleotide ribosomal RNA is filed under the name uncultured bacterium. Its description in RNAcentral is "partial 16S ribosomal RNA". It matches the Rfam family "Bacterial small subunit ribosomal RNA", at positions 523 to 796 of the family's 1533-position model. The record is from RNAcentral.